RNAcentral lists this ribosomal RNA (465 nucleotides) under uncultured bacterium. RNAcentral describes it as "bacterial SSU rRNA". It matches the Rfam family "Bacterial small subunit ribosomal RNA", at positions 338 to 795 of the family's 1533-position model. The record is from RNAcentral.
CCUACGGGAUGCAGCAGUGGGGAAUACUGCACAAUGGGCGCAGGCCUGAUGCAGCCAUGCCGCGUGUAUGAAGAAGGCCUUCGGGUUGUAAAGUACUUUCAGCGAGGAGGAAGGCGUUAAGGUUAAUAACCUUGGCGAUUGACGUUACUCGCAGAAGAAGCACCGGCUAACUCCGUGCCAGCAGCCGCGGUAAUACGGAGGGUGCAAGCGUUAAUCGGAAUUACUGGGCGUAAAGUACACGCAGGCGGUCUGUUAAGUCGGAUGUGAAAUCCCCGGGCUCAACCUGGGAACUGCAUUCGAAACUGGCAGGCUUGAGUCUUGUAGAGGGGGGUAGAAUUCCAGGUGUAGCGGUGAAAUGCGUAGAGAUCUGGAGGAAUACCGGUGGCGAAGGCGGCCCCCUGGACAAAGACUGACGCUCAGGUGCGAAAGCGUGGGGAGCAAACAGGAUUAGAUACCCGUGUAGUC